Molecule: ribosomal RNA, 301 nt
Filed under: uncultured bacterium
Lineage: Bacteria
Description: partial 16S ribosomal RNA
Rfam family: Bacterial small subunit ribosomal RNA
Source: RNAcentral
CAGUCGCCGCGGUAAUACGAAGGGUGCAAGCGUUACUCGGAAUUACUGGGCGUAAAGCGUGCGUAGGUGGUGGUUUAAGUCCGUUGUGAAAGCCCUGGGCUCAACCUGGGAAUUGCAGUGGAUACUGGGUCACUAGAGUGUGGUAGAGGAUAGUGGAAUUUCCGGUGUAGCAGUGAAAUGCGUAGAGAUCGGAAGGAACAUCUGUGGCGAAGGCGACUAUCUGGGCCAACACUGGCACUGGGGCACGAAAGCGUGGGGAGCAAACAGGAUUAGAUACCCCUGUAGUCCCUGUCUCUUAUAA